Mucor circinelloides is the source of this 74-nucleotide transfer RNA. It matches the Rfam family "tRNA". From Rfam's summary of the family: Transfer RNA (tRNA) molecules are approximately 80 nucleotides in length. Their secondary structure includes four short double-helical elements and three loops (D, anti-codon, and T loops). NCBI's taxonomy places the organism in Eukaryota, Fungi, Mucoromycota, Mucoromycetes, Mucorales, Mucoraceae. The record is from Rfam.
GCUUCCGUGGCGCAAUUGGCUAGCGCGUCUGACUGUUAAUCAGGAGGUUGGUGGUUCAAGCCCACCCGGGAGCG